Molecule: ribosomal RNA, 253 nt
Filed under: uncultured bacterium
Lineage: Bacteria
Description: partial 16S ribosomal RNA
Rfam family: Bacterial small subunit ribosomal RNA
Source: RNAcentral
UACGGGGGGGGCAAGCGUUGUUCGGAAUUACUGGGCGUAAAGGGCUCGUAGGUGGCCAACUAAGUCGGACGUGAAAUCCCUCAGCUUAACUGGGGAACUGCGUCCGAUACUGGAUGGCUUGAGUUUGGGAGAGGGAUACGGAAUUCCAGGUGUAGCGGUGAAAUGCGUAGAUAUCUGGAGGAACACCGGUGGCGAAGGCGGCAUCCUGGACCAACACUGACACUGAGGAGCGAAAGCCAGGGGAGCAAACGGG